Molecule: ribosomal RNA, 274 nt
Filed under: uncultured bacterium
Lineage: Bacteria
Description: partial 16S ribosomal RNA
Rfam family: Bacterial small subunit ribosomal RNA
Source: RNAcentral
AUACGGAGGGUGCGAGCGUUAAUCGGAAUUACUGGGCGUAAAGCGUACGUAGGCGGUUCGUUAAGUUAGAUGUGAAAGCCCCGGGCUUAACCUGGGAACUGCAUUUAAAACUGGCGAACUAGAGUUGAGUAGAGGGGAGUGGGAUUUCAGGUGUAGCGGUGAAAUGCGUAGAGAUCUGAAGGAACACCAGUGGCGAAGGCGACUCCCUGGACUCGAACUGACGCUGAGGUACGAAAGCGUGGGUAGCAAACGGGAUUAGAAACCCUAGUAGUCC